GACGAACGCUGGCGGCGUGCUUAACACAUGCAAGUCGAACGGAAAGGCCCUGCUUUUGUGGGGUGCUCGAGUGGCGAACGGGUGAGUAACACGUGAGUAACCUGCCCUUGACUUUGGGAUAACUUCAGGAAACUGGGGCUAAUACCGGAUAGGAGCUCCUGCUGCAUGGUGGGGGUUGGAAAGUUUCGGCGGUUGGGGCUAGACUCGCGGCUUAUCAGCUUGUUGGUGGGGUAGUGGCUUACCAAGGCUUUGACGGGUAGCCGGCCUGAGAGGGUGACCGGCCACAAUGGGACUGAGGGACGGCCCAGACGCCAACGGGAGGCAACAGUGGAGAGUAUUGCACAAUGGGCGGAAGCCUGAUGCAGCAACGCCGCGUGCGUGAUGACGGCCUUCGGGGUGUAAACCGCUGUCUCCUGUGACGAAGCGUGAGUGACGGUAAUGGGUAAAGAAGCACCGGCUAACUACGUG
This 468-nucleotide ribosomal RNA is filed under the name uncultured bacterium. RNAcentral's name for it is "partial 16S ribosomal RNA". It matches the Rfam family "Bacterial small subunit ribosomal RNA", at positions 28 to 507 of the family's 1533-position model. The record is from RNAcentral.